GUCGAGGGGCAGCAUGGUCUUAGCUUGCUAAGGCCGAUGGCGACCGGCGCACGGGUGAGUAACACGUAUCCAACCUGCCGUCUACUCUUGGACAGCCUUCUGAAAGGAAGAUUAAUACAAGAUGGCAUCAUGAGUCCGCAUGUUCACAUGAUUAAAGGUAUUCCGGUAGACGAUGGGGAUGCGUUCCAUUAGAUAGUAGGCGGGGUAACGGCCCACCUAGUCUUCGAUGGAUAGGGGUUCUGAGAGGAAGGUCCCCCACAUUGGAACUGAGACACGGUCCAAACUCCUACGGGAGGCAGCAGUGAGGAAUAUUGGUCAAUGGGCGAGAGCCUGAACCAGCCAAGUAGCGUGAAGGAUGACUGCCCUAUGGGUUGUAAACUUCUUUUAUAAAGGAAUAAAGUCGGGUAUGGAUACCCGUUUGCAUGUACUUUAUGAAUAAGGAUCGGCUAACUCCGUGCCAGCAGCCGCGGUAAUACGGAGGAUCCGAGCGUUAUCCGGAUUUAUUGGGUUUAAAGGGAGCGUAGAUGGAUGUUUAAGUCAGUUGUGAAAGUUUGCGGCUCAACCGUAAAAUUGCAGUUGAUACUGGAUAUCUUGAGUGCAGUUGAGGCAGGCGGAAUUCGUGGUGUAGCGGUGAAAUGCUUAGAUAUCACGAAGAACUCCGAUUGCGAAGGCAGCCUGCUAAGCUGCAACUGACAUUGAGGCUCGAAAGUGUGGGUAUCAAACAGGAUUAGAUACCCUGGUAGUCCACACGGUAAACGAUGAAUACUCGCUGUUUGCGAUAUACUGCAAGCGGCCAAGCGAAAGCGUUAA
RNAcentral lists this ribosomal RNA (810 nucleotides) under uncultured bacterium. RNAcentral's name for it is "bacterial SSU rRNA". It matches the Rfam family "Bacterial small subunit ribosomal RNA", at positions 61 to 863 of the family's 1533-position model. The record is from RNAcentral.